GUACAUGACGUCAUUGGCGGGUAUGCUGUUUGAUUAGCAAUAUCAAUCUCCAGAAAUUGUCUAAACAUACAUAAGGAUACUUACAUAAAUACAUAUAUGAGACCUACAAUUUAUGAAACAUAACUUACCACCCUUAUGCUGUUUUCACCUAUAGGGUUAUUACUCAGCCUGCUGCUCACGGCGGUUCCGGGUGCAGUGGCUCCCCUAGCGAGACCCAGCCCUGUAACCGGUUCUGUCAUAACGGCGGCACACCGGCAGGGGAUCGCUGCUCCUGUCACCCUGGGUACAGCGGGACAUGCUGCGGUACAGACGUGAACGAGUGCUCCAGUGGUAACGGGGGCUGUGACCACACCUGCGUGAAUACGGCAGGCAGUUAUCAUUGUACCUGCCAGGCUGGGUAUCUUCUCUCCGGGACACACACCUGCAUAGAUUUGGACGAGUGUUCUCACAACAAUGGCGGCUGCCAGCAUACCUGCACUAACACACCGGGAGGACACCGCUGUUCCUGUCGACCUGGAUAUAGUCUGUCUGGAUCCAGAAACUGUGAAG
Branchiostoma floridae (Florida lancelet) is the source of this 549-nucleotide long non-coding RNA. RefSeq lists it as uncharacterized. The transcript has 3 exons. NCBI's taxonomy places the organism in Eukaryota, Metazoa, Chordata, Leptocardii, Amphioxiformes, Branchiostomatidae. The record is from RefSeq and is a predicted model, not a curated record.